AGAUUGAACGCUGGCGGCGUGCCUAACACAUGCAAGUCGAGCGGUAACAGGUGUAGCAAUACAUGCUGACGAGCGGCGAACGGGUGAGUAAUGCUUCGGAAUCUACCUUAUGGUGGGGAAUAACUAGCCGAAAGGUUAGCUAAUACCGCAUACGUCCUACGGGAGAAAGCAGGGGAUCGCAAGACCUUGCGCCAAAAGAUGAGCCGAAGUCGGAUUAGCUAGUGGUAGGUAACGCCUACAAGGCGACGAUCCGUAGCUGGUCUGAGAGGACGACCAGCCACACUGGAACUGAGACACGGUCCAGACUCCGUACGGGAGGCAGCAGGUAGGGGAAUAGUUAGGACAAGUCGGGGGAAACCCUGGACUCCAGGCGACGCCGCGUGUGUAGAAGACGGCCGUGGACGGGUUAGUAAACGUCGUUACGUUUAGGUAGGGACUAGGUAAAGUGGUA
Molecule: ribosomal RNA, 451 nt
Filed under: uncultured soil bacterium
Lineage: Bacteria
Description: bacterial SSU rRNA
Rfam family: Bacterial small subunit ribosomal RNA
Source: RNAcentral